GCAGUCGUACGAGAGUUUUUACUCUAGUGGCGGACGGGUGAGUAACACGUGAGAAUUUACCUUUAGGAGGGGGAUAACAAUUGGAAACGAAUGCUAAUACCCCAUAUGCUUUCGAGUGAAAUGGAUUUAUAUUUAUUCGCCUAAAGAGAAGCUCGCGGCUGAUUAGCUUGUUGGUAAGGUAAGAGCUUACCAAGGCGACGAUCAGUAUCUGGUUUGAGAGGACGAUCAGACACACUGGAACUGAGACACGGUCCAGACUCCUACGGGAGGCAGCAGUGGGGAAUUUUCCGCAAUGGGCGAAAGCCUGACGGAGCAAUACCGCGUGAGGGAAGACUGCCUAUGGGUUGUAAACCUCUUUUUUCAGGGAGGAAUAAAUGACGUGUACCUGAAGAAUAAGCAUCGGCUAACUCCGUGCCAGCAGCCGCGGUAAGACGGAGGAUGCAAGUGUUAUCCGGAAUCACUGGGCGUAAAGCGUCUGUAGGUGGUUUAAUAAGUCAACUGUUAAAUCUUGAGGCUCAACUUCAAAAUCGCAGUCGAAACUAUUAGACUAGAGUAUAGUAGAGGUAAAGGGAAUUUCCAGUGGAGCGGUGAAAUGCGUAGAUAUUGGAAAGAACACCGAUGGCGAAAGCACUUUACUGGGCUAUUACUAACACUCAGAGACGAAAGCUAGGGUAGCAAAUGGGAUUAGAUACCCCAGUAGUCCUAGCCGUAAACUAUGGAUACUAGAUGUUGAACAGAUCGACCUGUGCAGUAUCAAAGCUAACGCGUUAAGUAUCCCGCCUGG
Molecule: ribosomal RNA, 784 nt
Filed under: uncultured cyanobacterium
Lineage: Bacteria; Bacillati; Cyanobacteriota
Description: bacterial SSU rRNA
Rfam family: Bacterial small subunit ribosomal RNA
Source: RNAcentral